This is an RNA transcript of Capsella rubella, 1543 nucleotides long. It is a transcript of the gene named zinc finger CCCH domain-containing protein 45, with no coding region annotated. The record is from RefSeq and is a predicted model, not a curated record. NCBI's taxonomy places the organism in Eukaryota, Viridiplantae, Streptophyta, Magnoliopsida, Brassicales, Brassicaceae. The transcript has 7 exons.
AAUAAAAUUACAAAACAGAGAAGAAGAAGCGAAAAAAAGAGAGAUGUCGAAGCCGAACAGAGAAGAUUAGGGCUUUCGUUGGGUUUUCAAAUACCAAACUAAAAUUAAGGCAUGUCGUCUGAUACGGCUAAGGAAAAUGCAUCUGUUGUCGAUUCAUCUUUGACUGAUUGGAAAAAAGAUAUGGGGAACUCUGAUGAUCCAGAGAAUUCAAGUUACAGAAGCAAGGAAGACAAUAAUAACCUGUCCAAGGUGGAUGUUGAACGACCUAACUUUCCUGAUCAACUUAAAAGCUCAAACCCGGAUAAAAAUAGUAAACCGGGCCACCAGACGAGAUACUUUAUCAUCAAAAGUCUAAAUUAUGAGAAUAUUCAAGUUUCAGUCGAGAAAGGGAUUUGGGCCACGCAAGUAAUGAAUGAGCCAAUAUUGGAAGGUGCUUUUCAUAAAUCUGGUCGAGUGAUUUUAAUCUUCAGCGUGAACAUGAGCGGAUUCUUUCAAGGGUAUGCAGAGAUGUUGUCUCCUGUGGGAUGGAGGCGAGACCAUAUAUGGAGCCAGGGAGGUGGUAAAAACAAUCCGUGGGGACGUAGUUUUAAAGUCAAAUGGUUGCGGUUGAGUGAAUUGCCUUUUCAGAAAACACUUCAUCUGAAGAAUCCUUUGAAUGAUUACAAGCCUGUCAAGAUUAGUCGAGAUUGUCAGGAAUUACCAGAAGAUAUUGGCGAAGCACUUUGUGAACUCCUUGAUGCAAAUAGCUGCGAUGAUGGGUUGCUGAAUAGCUGUUCUAGGGAUGAUUAUUCAACAAAAAGAUCCCGCGCAGAACCUUUAUCUUCCUCAGGAGACGAAGAUUAUAAUAACAAUAUGUGGGGCCAUACAGCGAUGCCAUACCCGCCUGCAGCUUACCCAAACCAGGAUGACCUCAGCAGAUUUCAUCUUGCACAACAAAGAGGAUAUGGAGAACACUCAGAAUAUCUUCAUACAUCAUCAGGUGCAUCUAACUCUCGCACAGAGCAAGAAAAGUCUUUAAGAUUCAACUCAUGGGGUUUGCCUUUGGAAAGCCCUCUUGCGAGUUCCCUAACCGAUGAUGAUUUUCUUAACAUGGUAGUGGCAUAUCUGUUUGUAAUAUAUGCUGAGUUAAUCCAAUUACAGUCUCUUGUUCUCGAACUAGAUAUUUUUUGUAAGUCAUGUUGUUUAGAAGAAUCAAAGAUAGUAAUGAGACACUACUGGAAACUUGGUGAAAACAUUUGUACUAUUUUUCAAACUCUGAGCUAUUUCACUGAGCUCUUGCUGAUCCAUAUUACUUACAUAUAUCAGGGUCUGACACAAGUUUAGCGUUUUAUUAUGAUGUUACAGGGACUUGUUUCUGUUUCUUGAGAAUCAUCAUGAGCUCAGGUUUUGUUGUUGUCUAAUUGUUGACAAAGUCUUGUGAUUGUGUUUUUUCUCGUUUUUGCAGUCUUAUGAAGAAUACCUUGAAACCCACAGCAGAUGCAUGAAACAACUUGGUCUUCCUGUGAUUACACACUCACGGGCCACACAAGAGCCAUCAAGUAAA